This is an RNA transcript of Carlito syrichta (Philippine tarsier), 871 nucleotides long. It is a transcript of the gene named 26S proteasome non-ATPase regulatory subunit 10 pseudogene, with no coding region annotated. NCBI's taxonomy places the organism in Eukaryota, Metazoa, Chordata, Mammalia, Primates, Tarsiidae. The record is from RefSeq and is a predicted model, not a curated record. The transcript has a single exon.
UCCUGGGAAAGCGAAAUGGAGGGGUGUGUGUCUAACCUAUUGGUCUGCAACCUGGCCUACAGCGGGAAGCUGGAGGAGUUGAAGGAGAGGAUCCUGGCAGAUAAAUCCCUGGCUACUAGAACUGCUCAGGACAGCAGAACUGCAUUGCAUUGGGCAUGCUCAGCCGGACAUACAGAAAUUGUUGAAUUUUUGUUGCAACUUGGAGUGCCAGUGAAUGAUAAAGACGAUGCAGGUUGGUCUCCUCUUCAUAUUGCUGCUUCUGCUGGCCGGGAUGAGAUUGUAAAAGCCCUUCUGGGAAAAGGUGCUCAAGUGAAUGCUGUCAAUCAAAACGGCUGUACUCCCCUGCAUUAUGCUGCUUCCAAAAAUAGGCAUGAGAUUGCUGUCAUGUUACUAGAAGGUGGGGCUAAUCCGGAUGCUAAGGACCAUUAUGAGGCUACAGCAAUGCACCGGGCAGCAGCCAAGGACACUUAGCCUGUGAUGAAGAGAGAGUGGAAGAAGCAAAACUGUUGGUGUCCCAAGGAGCAAGUAUUUACAUUGAGAAUAAAGAAGAAAAGACACCUCUGCAAGUGGCCAAAGGCGGCCUGGGUUUAAUACUCAAGAGAAUGGUGGAAGGUUAAGCAGCUUGGCUGUGUUCUUACUUUGUAUGUUUUGUUGUUGUCUCCAGUGUCCUGGAAACUAAUAUACUUGUACACAAGACAUCAUCUAUCAAUAAUGCAGUUUUCUCACCUUUAAGGUCUUAUAAACAUGUUGACCAUUGUUCUUGUUGAGAUAGUCAUUCUGAGCUUACAUCUUGCUUUCCAGGCAUUGAAUAACUGUUGCGAUUGUUCUAUUGUUGUCGUGUACUAUUCUAUAUUGAAUUUUGGUUAAUUUU